UUCCGGAGAGGGAGCCUGAGAAACGGCUACCACAUCCAAGGAAGGCAGCAGGCGCGCAAAUUACCCAAUCCCGACACGGGGAGGUAGUGACAAUAAAUACUGAUACAGGGCUCUUUUGGGUCUUGUAAUUGGAAUGAGUACAAUUUAAAUCCCUUAACGAGGAACAAUUGGAGGGCAAGUCUGGUGCCAGCAGCCGCGGUAAUUCCAGCUCCAAUAGCGUAUAUUAAAGUUGUUGCAGUUAAAAAGCUCGUAGUUGAACCUUGGGCCUGGCUGGCCGGUCCGCCUCACCGCGUGUACUGGUCCGGCCGGGCCUUUCCUUCUGGGGAGCCGCAUGCCCUUCACUGGGCGUGUCGGGGAACCAGGACUUUUACUUUGAAAAAAUUAGAGUGUUCAAAGCAGGCCUUUGCUCGAAUACAUUAGCAUGGAAUAAUAGAAUAGGACGUGCGGUUCUAUUUUGUUGGUUUCUAGGACCGCCGUAAUGAUUAAUAGGGAUAGUCGGGGGCAUCAGUAUUCAAUUGUCAGAGGUGAAAUUCUUGGAUUUAUUGAAGACUAACUACUGCGAAAGCAUUUGCCAAGGAUGUUUUCAUUAAUCAGUGAACGAAAGUUAGGGGAUCGAAGACGAUCAGAUACCGUCGUAGUCUUAACCAUAAACUAUGCCGACUAGGGAUCGGGCGAUGUUAUCAUUUUGACUCGCUCGGCACC
This 702-nucleotide ribosomal RNA is filed under the name Aureobasidium pullulans. RNAcentral's name for it is "SSU rRNA". It matches the Rfam family "Eukaryotic small subunit ribosomal RNA", at positions 381 to 1087 of the family's 1831-position model. Lineage: Eukaryota; Fungi; Ascomycota; Dothideomycetes; Dothideales; Saccotheciaceae. The record is from RNAcentral.